AUUCUAGUGGUGUAAUUGGAUACAUGCCUCCUUUUGGAGGAGAUGGGGGUUCAAAUCCCUUCUGGAAUU
Picea glauca (white spruce) is the source of this 69-nucleotide non-coding RNA. The record is from Rfam. Lineage: Eukaryota; Viridiplantae; Streptophyta; Pinopsida; Pinales; Pinaceae.